AAAAAAAAAAAAAAAGGAUAAUAAUGCCUCCUUGGACAGGGGAAUGCCUUAUCACCAAUCCACCACUAAUCACCGGGAGCAAUGUUCUUGACAGCUUUGUGCUACUUGUCAUCCGAAACUGUAUAUGAAUAUACAAAUAAAUUUAUGGAGCAUGGAGAAACAUAACAAGAAGAAUUUCAAAGCCACAUGAAGGAAAACAAACAUGGCAUACUAAAAUUUCAUUCCUUUUCUUUCUAUUAUCAACAAAUACAAAAGAAUUUGUUGAGGUUAAUGUA
This 275-nucleotide unclassified non-coding RNA is filed under the name Hevea brasiliensis (rubber tree). Lineage: Eukaryota; Viridiplantae; Streptophyta; Magnoliopsida; Malpighiales; Euphorbiaceae. The record is from RNAcentral.